GUAGGGAAUAUUGCACAAUGGGCGCAAGCCUGAUGCAGCAACGCCGCGUGCGCGAUGAAGGCCUUCGGGUCGUAAAGCGCUUUUCGGGGAGAUGAGGAAGGACAGUAUCCCCGGAAUAAGGCUCGGCUAACUACGUGCCAGCAGCCGCGGUAAAACGUAGGAGCCAAGCGUUAUCCGAAUUCACUGGGCGUAAAGCGUGUGCAGGCGGACGGAUAAGUUGGGUGUAAAAUCUCCUGGCUCAACUGGGAGAGGCCGCUCAAUACUGUACGUCUCGAGGGCAACAGAGGGAGGUGGAAUUCCCGGUGUAGUGGUGAAAUGCGUAGAUAUCGGGAGGAACACCAGUGGCGAAAGCGGCCUCCUGGGUUGCACCUGACGCUCAGACACGAAAGCUAGGGGAGCGAACGGGAUUAGAUACCCUAGUAGUCC
RNAcentral lists this ribosomal RNA (426 nucleotides) under uncultured bacterium. Its description in RNAcentral is "bacterial SSU rRNA". It matches the Rfam family "Bacterial small subunit ribosomal RNA", at positions 354 to 796 of the family's 1533-position model. The record is from RNAcentral.